This 912-nucleotide ribosomal RNA is filed under the name Triticum aestivum (bread wheat). Its description in RNAcentral is "partial small subunit ribosomal RNA". The record is from RNAcentral. Lineage: Eukaryota; Viridiplantae; Streptophyta; Magnoliopsida; Poales; Poaceae.
AUGGAGACAGUAAGUAGGACAUUUAACAGAGUUUUGGCAUGCCUCCUUAGGUUAGCACAUGACAUAAUUGUACCCAAGGACCCAACAUUUGCAGAGGUGCAUCCAAACUUAGAAAAUCCAGCAUUCUGGCCACACUUCAAUGGCUGCAUAGGAGCUAUAGAUGGGACACAUGUGAAGGUUGUGGUGGAUAAGAGUAAGAGGGUUCCAUACUUGAACAGGCACAAUGAAACCAGCUAGAAUGUGCUUGUUGUUUGUGAUUUCAACAUGAGAUUUACAUUUGUGAUGUCGGGAUGGCCUGGUUCAGCACACGACAUGAGAGUUUUCAAAGAUGCCAUAACUACUCAUCGUCACAAAUUUCCACGUCCACCACCAGGUUUGCUACUUGAACCGUCUUGCACUAAUUUUUAUCCAAUUACACUUGUUCAUCUUAGUCUCAUUGUGUGCCUUUGCCAAUAUGUAGGAAAGUAUUAUGUGGUUGAUGCGGGGUACCCAAACCGUCUGGGCUACCUUUCACCAUACAGAUGUACAAGGUACCACGUGGAGCAAUGGCAAAACGGCCCGCCGCCACAAGGUAUGAAAGAAACCUUCAACCAUGCACAUGCCAAAGUUAGGAAUGUCAUUGAGCGAUCAUUUGGAGUGUUGAAGAUGAAAUUUAGGAUUUUGUUGAACAUGCCAAAAUUUCCAGAGGACAAGCAAACUAGAAUUAUUGUUGCUUGUAUGGCUCUUCAUAAUUUCAUUCGAGAGAGCAGAAUUCCGGAUAGGGAAUUUGAUGCAUGUGAUGCGGAUGAAAACUAUAAUCCAAUGCCUAGUUCUGCUGCAUCUGCAUGGCCAGAAGACGAACCUCUUGUUGAAGAUACCAACAUGAAUGACUUCCGUGAAGAGUUAGCUCGUGCUCUGUUUCAUGGAAUGUGA